CUAACAAGUCUCAGCCUGAAUCACCUCUUCUAUCUCUUUAUUUCAGGAUAGCAUUCACCUCUGUGCAUAAGUCAAACAUAAGGCUGAUUCACAAAGGCUGUCCUGCUUACACAGUAGAAAGUUUCAGUAAGACAGAAGUGAGGAAAAGGCCUUCUCCUGACCAUUUGCAAGGGAACAUAUAGAGAUUCUGGUGAUCUGCACAGACUGGAAGUCCUGGACCAUCCAAAAAGAACUGUCUUUUUCAAAAGAGUGGAAAACCAAAACUUAUAACUGAAAAAAGAAAAUCGGCCUUCUACUUUCCAGUUGUUGACGAAGACACAAAAUUUCCAGUAUAUUUUCUCAGAAGUAUUUCAUACUGGAGACAAAAAGAAAAAGGUGGACUUCUUCCAGUCAGUUUUACUGUCCAAGUCUGCCAGAGGAACUUUAGUCACUGUGGUGCUUUAUUGCAUAAGAGAUCUGGCUUCUAAAAUCCCAACUCUGACCACAGGAAAAUACUGACUGGGGCAUUGCAGAAAAAUAGAAACAGCUAAUUGUAUGAGUUCAAGCUCUCCAUGCUGUUUAGUCGCCACUCUGCAGCAAGGAUCUUGACAAAGACUGUUUCAUUUCCUGUUUUCCCC
Neopsephotus bourkii (Bourke's parrot) is the source of this 617-nucleotide long non-coding RNA. RefSeq lists it as uncharacterized. The record is from RefSeq and is a predicted model, not a curated record. The transcript has 3 exons. NCBI's taxonomy places the organism in Eukaryota, Metazoa, Chordata, Aves, Psittaciformes, Psittacidae.